Molecule: non-coding RNA, 113 nt
Filed under: Magnetospirillum sp. SS-4
Lineage: Bacteria; Pseudomonadati; Pseudomonadota; Alphaproteobacteria; Rhodospirillales; Rhodospirillaceae
Description: TPP riboswitch aptamer (THI element)
Rfam family: TPP riboswitch aptamer (THI element)
About the family: Vitamin B(1) in its active form thiamin pyrophosphate (TPP) is an essential coenzyme that is synthesised by coupling of pyrimidine and thiazole moieties in bacteria.
Source: Rfam by way of RNAcentral
CCUUUGCCGAAGGGGAGUCCCGUGGAGCGGGGCUGAGAGGCCGGAAUACGCCCCGGCGACCCUUGGAACCUGAUCCGGGUCAUUCCGGCGAAGGGAUCGGAACCUUCGUUCCC